This 177-nucleotide non-coding RNA is filed under the name Sporanaerobacter sp. PP17-6a. Its description in RNAcentral is "6S / SsrS RNA". It matches the Rfam family "6S / SsrS RNA". From Rfam's summary of the family: E. coli 6S RNA was the first non coding RNA to be sequenced, but its function was unknown until recently. Lineage: Bacteria; Bacillati; Bacillota; Tissierellia; Tissierellales; Sporanaerobacteraceae. The record is from Rfam by way of RNAcentral. RNAcentral also lists the same sequence under 1 other name.
ACGUUUCUGCGAUGUACGUAAGCCUAUAUAAUUCAACCGACAUAAGACAUAUGGGAGUCUUUAGUUCAACAGUCUAUAACAUGCCUCCUCUGAGUGGAAGUUAGAAGCUGCUGACAGAUACCCACCUUUUAAAAGGCGGGCGUGAAUUAGCUGGGAGUACGGCACCGCGGGAUAUAA